This 531-nucleotide long non-coding RNA is filed under the name Phoenix dactylifera (date palm). RNAcentral's name for it is "long non-coding RNA (PDAC_LNC022397)". Lineage: Eukaryota; Viridiplantae; Streptophyta; Magnoliopsida; Arecales; Arecaceae. The record is from RNAcentral.
UAAUUGCCUAGAACUUAAAUAAGUAGUAUCUUAUCAUCCCGCUGCAUUCAAUUCAAAGUAAAAAUUAGGGAACAUAAUUUUUAAAUAACCCAAUUCACCCCCCCUCUUGGGUUGUCAUCUUGGGCAACAGAGAAAAAAAUGAAAACAGGAAAAACAAAAAAUUUAACAUUUUUUCUCAUAAUCCAUAGAAGUAGAUGCAUGCAGGUAACAUUUUUUCUCACAAAAAUUUUAACAUUUUUUCUCAUAACAUUUUUUCAGGUGAAGCCUGCAUUUGAAAUACAUGCAGGUAACUCAUCUUUGUCUGGGCCUGCAUAAAAUUGUGUAUCCCAAUGAGAGACCUCUACUAUCUUGACAUGGAUGUACCCCUCAUGCAGCUGACAUGGUCUCAGUUUUUUACGUCAGAUCAGCUGCAUGGUAGUAAUAUUAUGAAGGCAAGCUUGCUGUUAACAUUCCUACCCUUUUUCUAGUGUAAUCUUAGACGUUUAUAGACAUGCUAGACAGAGCCCUGGAUAGGAUCAAUUGAAACCCCCU